RNAcentral lists this ribosomal RNA (153 nucleotides) under uncultured bacterium. Its description in RNAcentral is "partial 16S ribosomal RNA". It matches the Rfam family "Bacterial small subunit ribosomal RNA", at positions 362 to 509 of the family's 1533-position model. The record is from RNAcentral.
UCUUCCACAAUGGACGAAAGUCUGAUGGAGCAACGCCGCGUGAGUGAAGAAGGGUUUCGGCUCGUAAAGCUCUGUUGGUAGUGAAGAAAGAUAGAGGUAGUAACUGGCCUUUAUUGACGGUAAUUACUUAGAAGUCACGGCUAACUACGUGCC